GCAGUCUCACUCUGCACCCAGCGGCAGCCCCAGGCGGUGCUUUUUCCGUCUGUCAGAGAAAUAUUCCCAGUUCUGUGGCUGCCUCACCUGUCAAGGGCGAUGCCGCUGCCUGGGGACUUGGGG
Molecule: small nucleolar RNA, 123 nt
Filed under: Microcebus murinus (gray mouse lemur)
Lineage: Eukaryota; Metazoa; Chordata; Mammalia; Primates; Cheirogaleidae
Description: Small nucleolar RNA SNORA77 (ENSMICG00000044133.1)
Rfam family: Small nucleolar RNA SNORA77
About the family: ACA63 (SNORA77) is a member of the H/ACA class of snoRNAs that guide the sites of modification of uridines to pseudouridines. This snoRNA was identified by computational screening and its expression in mouse experimentally verified by Northern blot and primer extension analysis.
Source: Rfam by way of RNAcentral